GGUUUUAUAGUUUAAUGAAAAUAUUAAGUUGCAAACUUAAGGAUACAUAAUUUGUUAAGACUU
This 63-nucleotide transfer RNA is filed under the name Helicocranchia sp. n SB-2022. RNAcentral describes it as "tRNA-Cys". It matches the Rfam family "tRNA". Rfam says of the family: Transfer RNA (tRNA) molecules are approximately 80 nucleotides in length. The record is from RNAcentral. Lineage: Eukaryota; Metazoa; Mollusca; Cephalopoda; Oegopsida; Cranchiidae.